AAAAAAAACCCUUUUAUCAGCCAUAGGUUAAUGCAAGUGUUUAACAGAUGCUUCGCUAUUAAAAUAUUUCCCCCCAAUACUGAAGAAUCUUAAACCAGAGAUUGCGAAGAUUUUCAAAGUGGGGCACCUCGAUUUCUCGAAUCUGUGGUGUGGCGAAUAUCCGUGUUCCUCCUGCUUAACUAGCCUGUUUGCAUCUUUUGACACAUUUUACUUCCGUAAUUUCGGACUGCCAGAAGGCACAGUUCAUUCUCGAGCAAUUCGUCACCUCCUGGGGGUCUUCUCUUCCCGUCUACAGGAGAGUGUGACUUCAGAAAGAACUUCGGAUUGGCCAAGGCCAUUAAAGCUGGUGAGCGACUUGGAAGUCAUUUAGAAAGGAACAGACCUUCAACCUCAAGCCUUUGCGGGCACUGGGAAAGUGUCUUCCCAAUCAAUCUGGCUUGCAGGCGGCAGGACCAACUCUGACCUGGCUUAUCUUGUACCCAUCCUAAAUACACCAAACUCAAGAGGUAGCCAGGGCCGCCUCAACACCGAGGCAGGUCUGAUUCUAUUUAUUCUAAAGACAGAGUUGGAGAUGGGCUACCAUUGGUGUUGAUUGAGAUGACAAGCAGUCACCUGAGCCCAUACAGCUGGGUUCACAGAUGUGGCUAGUCUUGCUAGCCAGCUCGCACUGUGGACAUUCUAGGGAACUGACUGCAGUCCUCAUGCUUGGAGUCAAACACUUUAACCACUGCACACGUUUAUGUAAUAGGAUUGACAUAUGAGAAUCAGAGAAAUGAAUGAAAGAUUAGAGUGGGAGAAAGUGCUUGCUGCCAAGCUUGAUGACCUAAAUUGAAUACCUGGAACCUACACGACAGAAAGAGAGAGCUGACUGCUGAAAGAUGUCCUCAGAUCUUCACAUGUGCACAGUGGCACCUAUCCAACCAUGCACAUAGUAUAUUAAAAAUUAUUUUUUAAAAAA
RNAcentral lists this long non-coding RNA (958 nucleotides) under Mus musculus (house mouse). Its description in RNAcentral is "Hand2, opposite strand 1". The record is from RNAcentral. Lineage: Eukaryota; Metazoa; Chordata; Mammalia; Rodentia; Muridae.